UCAUCAAGGACAUCAUCGUCAUCAUCGUCAUCAACAUCCUCGCUCGGGCUCGCGCCGGUGCACGAGGCAGAAGAAGCUCGCGAAGAAGGUUCAACCGCCGAGGCCACGCUCGCGCAGCAUCGGGUAUAGUCCGGGUCCCAGCCGUGCAUCGAGGAGUUGUCGUCGGGUGCCCCCAGAUACGACCUCGCCUCCUCUUCCUCUCCUCCCGUGGCAUGUCCAGUCCCCGGCAGGUCCUGCGAACCGUCCUCAGGGCAGCGUGCCAACCCUUCCGCUGGCUGCUGCGACAACUGGCCGCCGCCGCCGCCGCCGCUUCCGAGGAGAACGAGGAGCAGCGUGCGAACGCGUCCGUCACGUCGUCCUGCUGGUCUCAGUUGGGCGCCUGGCUCGGGGGUCGCAAGAUGGAGGCUCUGCUGUUCGCCUACACCGCGGCGGCCACCAUGCCGGCGGCGGCCAUCACGGCCAUCUUCCGGGAGCAGUCCUGCCGGAGCCUGUCGUUCGCCAAGGGCGUGUGCGAGAACAUCGCCAAGCACGAAUACGAGCGCUACAAGGCGUACGUGGUCUCUAGCCGCUACCUGCUCCUGUCGGAAGGCUUGCUCACGAUCACCUCCGCCGUGGUCGCCAUCCUGGCGGGCCCGGUGUGCGACAAGUACGGACACCGGACGCUCGUGAGCUUCGCCAUAGCCGGUGCCGCGGGCACCACCCUCUUGCGCGUCUUCAUCGCCUUGGGAAGUGGCGACAUGCUGGCCUACGUGUUUGCGGUGCUGCCCAUGGGCCUAACAGGUGGUCACGUGCUCAUGCUGGCCUGCUGCUACUACGUGGUGACGAAACGCACCGAAGCUAGGCUCUUUCGAACCAUCAGGUUUUACCUCCUCGAGGUGUCCGCGCUCUUGGGCCACGCCGUGGGCUGGCUCGUGGGCUGGCUCCUGCACUCGGUGCUCGGCCACCAUGUGUCGCUGUGGACGGCGCUGGGGGUGCAGUGCUGCCUGCUGGCGACGAUGUGGGCGAGCCCCUUCCACAGGGACUCCUCGGCGAGCACUGCGGCGCAGCCGAACCAGCUGCGGCUCCUGGUCAGCCCGGACAACGCGCGCGAGGCGGCCAAGAUGUUCGGCGGCCACCGGCACAUCCGGGGCACGCUCAAGCUGCUGUUCGCGCUGCAGGCGCUCAUCGCCGCCAUCAAUUAUGGUCCCGACGAGAUCCUGUAUCCGUACACCCGCCUGGUGUACCGCUGGUCGUACUCGCACUUCGCGCUCGUCUCGGCCAUCGGCGGCCUGCUGGUCGGCGUGAUCGGCGUGUUCGCCGUCGGCUGCAUGCGCUUCGGCGGCGUCAACGACGUCACGUUCGUGAACAUCGGAGCCGUCUUCGGAGGCGUCCGCGACCUCAUCAUCGGCGUGGCGCAGCUGCCCGCCGUGUUCUACAUCAGCUACAUCUUGGCAGUACCCCAAGGAGUCGCACCGGUGGGCCUCAAGUCGUACUUCUCCAAGCUGGUUCCUGCAGACGAAUGCGGCAAGUUCAUGGCCCUGGUGACCGCCUGCGAGUCGGUGUUCACCGUGCUCAGCCGAGUGGUGCUGUCAUUCACCUUCGACAUCGCAUCGACCAUCUUCACGGGCCUGCCAUUUAUCGUAUGCGCCGCACUGGCCAUACCCGUCAUCGCAAUCUCAGGGUUCCUCAACCCAACGCCGGAAUCGAGCAGCUCGAGUAGUGCCAGCGUGCCUGCACCGGCUGGCGAGCGAGGUGCGGACGACGGUGGUGCCGCCGGAGCAGCCGAGGUACCGGGUUCGGCUGCCGAACCGGUAGCGGCUGGCGGCGUCAUCCCCGAGCCUUUGCGGAAGCUCGGGGGUGCCUUGGCUGUGCCAGCGGUGGUGCAGGCUGCUCAGGCACAGGCGGUACGCGUCCUGCCGGCCGCCGCUCACAAGGUGGCUGCCGCCGUCCUCCAUCCGGGGCAGCAGCAGCAGCGCCCCCUUCCGAAGGCGGCGCCCGCUGCUCGGUCGUGAUGGGUCUGCCUGCCUCCGCCCCCGCCCUGGAACAAAAGCCAUCUGCAGCAGAACAACUGUAGUUUCUGCACCAGAGAGAGCGCUAUCCGGGACAACAGACUCAACAUCACGGAAGAAACGUUGUCGCACCUUCUCUACCAGCACCUGGAACUGCUUCUGCACGUGCAGGAACACGCGAGCCGGAACUCCAAGCUGCUCCAGGAUGGUGAUCAAGGGCCGACUGAGGUACACUGGACCUGCCAGAAACGAGCUUGCUGCAGAAGCUGGACAAUCCCAUGCACAAGUUUGAUGGUCGAUGCGAAAUACAGCAAGGGGGGUUCAAAAGAGAGAAACAUACCUAACCUAACCUAGAGAAACAAACCUAACCUAACCACACAGUGUGUGUUUUGAAAACUGCGACACACACCUGCUCUCUAUUUUUUUCACAAGAAAGAAUUUUUCAGGAUCCUCUGUGGCAGAUAGUGCAAUUAUAGUCUUUGAGCUGAAUUACUCGAAGAGUUAGGCAUCACUUGCACGAGAGAUCGAAAUACAUGCUUGGCUAAUCAGCAAAUUUUCUAUAAUAAACUUUCUACUUCAUUGCUUUGUGCACGUAUUUCAAUUCACAAACCGAACCCAGUGAUUUCACAAGGCACGUCCACUUGGAAUGAAUGUUGAAACUAGCACCAGGUUUGAGAUAAGUGCCGUCAAACUUGCAGUAAAACUACAAUGUUGUUCCACAAGCUUUCGUAACAAAAUGCCUUUUUGUGCCACAAACGUAAAAAAUGACUGGUGCACCAAUGCGAUUCGUUAUACACUUCGGGAACCCAUAUUUUGAAGCUGGUGUCAUCC
Dermacentor albipictus is the source of this 2819-nucleotide RNA transcript. It is a transcript of the gene named tetracycline resistance protein, class H-like, with no coding region annotated. Lineage: Eukaryota; Metazoa; Arthropoda; Arachnida; Ixodida; Ixodidae. The record is from RefSeq and is a predicted model, not a curated record.